This 433-nucleotide ribosomal RNA is filed under the name uncultured bacterium. RNAcentral describes it as "partial 16S ribosomal RNA". It matches the Rfam family "Bacterial small subunit ribosomal RNA", at positions 29 to 507 of the family's 1533-position model. The record is from RNAcentral.
AACGAACGCUGGCGGCAUGCCUAACACAUGCAAGUCGAACGAGACCUUCGGGUCUAGUGGCGCACGGGUGCGUAACGCGUGGGAACCUGCCCUUAGGUUCGGAAUAACUCCCCGAAAGGGGUGCUAAUACCGGCUAAUGUCUUCGGACCAAAGAUUUAUCGCCUUUGGAUGGGCCCGCGUUGGAUUAGCUAGUUGGUAGGGUAAAAGCCUACCAAGGCGACGAUCCAUAGCUGGUCUGAGAGGAUGAUCAGCCACACUGGGACUGAGACACGGCCCAGACUCCUACGGGAGGCAGCAGUGGGGAAUAUUGGACAAUGGGCGAAAGCCUGAUCCAGCAAUGCCGCGUGAGUGAUGAAGGCCUGAGGGUUGUAAAGCUCUUUUACCCGGGAUGAUAAUGACAGUACCGGGAGAAUAAGCUCCGGCUAACUCCGUG